Molecule: non-coding RNA, 148 nt
Organism: Pelobates cultripes (western spadefoot toad)
Lineage: Eukaryota; Metazoa; Chordata; Amphibia; Anura; Pelobatidae
Source: the annotation of a GenBank genome assembly
ACACAUUCCAGCCAAUCAGCAGCAGACCCUCCCUCCCAGACCUUCCCACCUCCUGGACAGCAUCCAUUUUGAAGCUGCAUUCUUAGUGAGCUGUCCAGGAGGUGGGAGGGUCUGGGAGGGAGGGUCUGCUGCUGAUUGGAUGGAAUGU